CGGCGGGGAAAGCACGUGGUCCUCCUGCAGUUUACUGUAAUCUCCAGAAGGACACCAGUCUUCUGUAAACUUCAUGUCCUCCUGUCAUUCAGAUACGGAUAUUCUGGAGAAUAUAGGACAUCACAGAAAACAGCAGAUAUGCUGUGACUGACAAGAACGUGCAAUGGAUACUGGUGUAUUGGACAGCCCUGCAUCCAGGGAAGUACCUCCAUUCCAUCUACCUAAGGCUGGGACACAGUGCUCUGUGUAAUGGAAUGGGCUCCCACCUGUGGGUGGGCAGAUAUCAGCCUGCUUUCUGUGCCCAUUAAGAGCAUUAUUAGCAAUUUUUGUUCCAAUGAAAGACUGACAUUUUCAUAUUUCUCUUAAAACCUGGUGGAGUAAAUUUAUAGGGAAGAAAAAUCCAAAGAUAUUUCAUUUUAGAAAGUUCUAAACUUCAUCAAAAUGACUCAUUUUUUUGGCUUCAAGGUUCACAUUGUCAUUGUAAAUGCAGCAUACAAUGACACUGUUUAAAUCAAACUUUGAAAAAUUA
Numida meleagris (helmeted guineafowl) is the source of this 529-nucleotide long non-coding RNA. RefSeq lists it as uncharacterized. The record is from RefSeq and is a predicted model, not a curated record. Lineage: Eukaryota; Metazoa; Chordata; Aves; Galliformes; Numididae. The transcript is spliced from 3 exons.